AGCGAACGCUGGCGGCAGGCCUAACACAUGCAAGUCGAACGAACUCUUCGGAGUUAGUGGCGGACGGGUGAGUAACACGUGGGAACGUGCCUUUGGUUCGGAAUAACUCAGGGAAACUUGUGCUAAUACCGAAUGUGCCCUUCGGGGGAAAGAUUUAUCGCCAUUAGAGCGGCCCGCGUCUGAUUAGCUAGUUGGUGAGGUAACGGCUCACCAAGGCGACGAUCAGUAGCUGGUCUGAGAGGAUGACCAGCCACACUGGGACUGAGACACGGCCCAGACUCCUACGGGAGGCAGCAGUGGGGAAUCUUGCGCAAUGGGCGAAAGCCUGACGCAGCCAUGCCGCGUGAAUGAUGAAGGUCUUAGGAUUGUAAAAUUCUUUCACCGGGGACGAUAAUGACGGUACCCGGAGAAGAAGCCCCGGCUAACUUCGUG
This 432-nucleotide ribosomal RNA is filed under the name uncultured bacterium. Its description in RNAcentral is "partial 16S ribosomal RNA". It matches the Rfam family "Bacterial small subunit ribosomal RNA", at positions 29 to 507 of the family's 1533-position model. The record is from RNAcentral.